GUCACUAUAGCUCAGUGGUAGAGCGUACGAUUGCAACAAAAGUCAUGUGACGGGUCACGUAUUAAUCACGUGACCAUCGUCAUCGUAAUGUCCUGUGUUCGAACCACAGUAGCGACU
This is a non-coding RNA of Favolaschia claudopus, 117 nucleotides long. Lineage: Eukaryota; Fungi; Basidiomycota; Agaricomycetes; Agaricales; Mycenaceae. The record is from the annotation of a GenBank genome assembly.